RNAcentral lists this ribosomal RNA (253 nucleotides) under uncultured bacterium. RNAcentral describes it as "partial 16S ribosomal RNA". It matches the Rfam family "Bacterial small subunit ribosomal RNA", at positions 524 to 776 of the family's 1533-position model. The record is from RNAcentral.
UACGUAGGGUGCGAGCGUUAAUCGGAAUUACUGGGCGUAAAGUGUGCGCAGGCGGCGGAGCAAGUCGAGUGUGAAAGCCCCGGGCUUAACUUGGGAACUGCGCUCGAAACUACUUUGCUGGAGUGUGGCAGAGGAAGGUGGAAUUCCAGGUGUAGCGGUGAAAUGCGUAGAGAUGUGGAGGAACACCAAUGGCGAAGGCAGCCUUCUGGGCCAACACUGACGCUCAUGCACGAAAGCGUGGGGAGCAAACAGG